GAGUUUGAUCGUGGCUCAGAUUGAACGCUGGCGGCAGGCCUAACACAUGCAAGUCGAGCGGUAGAGAGAAGCUUGCUUCUCUUGAGAGCGGCGGACGGGUGAGUAAUGCCUAGGAAUCUGCCUGGUAGUGGGGGAUAACGCUCGGAAACGGACGCUAAUACCGCAUACGUCCUACGGGAGAAAGCAGGGGACCUUCGGGCCUUGCGCUAUCAGAUGAGCCUAGGUCGGAUUAGCUAGUUGGUGAGGUAAUGGCUCACCAAGGCGACGAUCCGUAACUGGUCUGAGAGGAUGAUCAGUCACACUGGAACUGAGACACGGUCCAGACUCCUACGGGAGGCAGCAGUGGGGAAUAUUGGACAAUGGGCGAAAGCCUGAUCCAGCCAUGCCGCGUGUGUGAAGAAGGUCUUCGGAUUGUAAAGCACUUUAAGUUGGGAGGAAGGGCAGUAAAUUAAUACUUUGCUGUUUUGACGUUACCGACAGAAUAAGCACCGGCUAACUCUGUGCCAGCACG
This 511-nucleotide ribosomal RNA is filed under the name uncultured bacterium. RNAcentral describes it as "bacterial SSU rRNA". It matches the Rfam family "Bacterial small subunit ribosomal RNA", at positions 9 to 515 of the family's 1533-position model. The record is from RNAcentral.